Molecule: ribosomal RNA, 429 nt
Filed under: uncultured bacterium
Lineage: Bacteria
Description: bacterial SSU rRNA
Rfam family: Bacterial small subunit ribosomal RNA
Source: RNAcentral
AUUGAACGCUGGCGGCAUGCCUUACACAUGCAAGUCGAACGGCAGCACGGGAGCAAUCCUGGUGGCGAGUGGCGAACGGGUGAGUAAUAUAUCGGAACGUGCCCAGUCGUGGGGGAUAACGCAGCGAAAGCUGUGCUAAUACCGCAUACGAUCUCUGGAUGAAAGCGGGGGACUCGCAAGAGCCUCGCGCGAUUGGAGCGGCCGAUAUCAGAUUAGCUAGUUGGUGGGGUAAAAGCUCACCAAGGCGACGAUCUGUAGCUGGUCUGAGAGGACGACCAGCCACACUGGAACUGAGACACGGUCCAGACUCCUACGGGAGGCAGCAGUGGGGAAUUUUGGACAAUGGGCGCAAGCCUGAUCCAGCAAUGCCGCGUGCAGGAUGAAGGCCUUCGGGUUGUAAACUGCUUUUGUACGGAACGAAACGGUUCG